This 527-nucleotide ribosomal RNA is filed under the name uncultured bacterium. RNAcentral describes it as "bacterial SSU rRNA". It matches the Rfam family "Bacterial small subunit ribosomal RNA", at positions 791 to 1289 of the family's 1533-position model. The record is from RNAcentral.
UAGUCCUUGCUGUAAACGUUGUGCAUUAGGUGUUAGCGGAAUCGAUCCUGUUAGCGUCGCAGUUAACGCGUUAAAUGCACUGCCUGGGAAGUACGGUCGCAAGACUAAAACUCAAAGAAAUUGACGGGGACCCGCACAAGCGGUGGAGUACGUGGCUUAAUUCGAUGCAACGCGAAAAACCUUACCUGGUCUUGACAUGUAGAGUUCAAACGUGGAAACACGUUGGCCCCAAAGGCGAUCUACACAGGUGCUGCAUGGCUGUCGUCAGCUCGUGUCGUGAGAUGUUGGGUUAAGUCCCGCAACGAGCGCAACCCUCAUGUUUUGUUGUCCAGCCUUUUGAUGGCUUUAAAUUAGAGUCGAAUCAAAAGGCUGGACCCUCUAAACAGACCGCCCUGUUCAACGGGGAGGAAGGUGGGGAUGACGUCAAGUCAGUAUGGUCCUUACGACCAGGGCUGCACACGUACUACAAUGCUUGGUAUAGUGAGAAGCAAAACCGCGAGGUGGAGCCAAUCUUUAAAACCAAGCCU